This is a long non-coding RNA of Malus domestica (apple), 987 nucleotides long. RefSeq lists it as uncharacterized. The record is from RefSeq and is a predicted model, not a curated record. Lineage: Eukaryota; Viridiplantae; Streptophyta; Magnoliopsida; Rosales; Rosaceae.
GAAAGACCUCACUCUCUCUUAUCUCUCCGUCUGCACUCUCUCUCUCGUGCUCAGACCUCUCGAAUCGUUUCUGCACUUUCUCCUCUCCUCCUCCGCUCUGUCAACAGACUCAACACCUCUCUAAUCUCUCGAAUCGUCCCUGCCUCUGCCGACAGACUCAACACGUUGGCCGUCGAGUCAUCGACCAUCACGCUUGUAUGACUCCUCCAUAUUCCAGAUCCAGACUUUCACGGUUUCACCUCCAUCUCCCACCACGACCUCCAAAUCGAAGCUUCUCUGAUCUGAAGGGACGAGUAGAUGCAACAUUCUCCGUAUGACUAGACUUUCACCCAACUGAGAGUCCGACGGCGUGCGCGGAUGAAAGAGUUUCAGAGAAGAAUGGAUGCAAAAAAAAGUAAACAACUAAAAAGAUGAUAACUAAUAAGCAAAAGGAAGGCCAAAGGAAGUGUACUAACCCAGCUGGGACCAUAACUUCUGAUGUUACUGCAAAUUUGAAUUUUUCUCUACUUUUGUGGCAAGGGGAUUUGAGUUUUUUUUUAGUUUGUUUGUGGGGAGCGGCUCUAUUUAUAUAGCAUUCAUGCACGGGGUCGGCUCUACAUAGUGUCCGUGUAUCCCUGAGCCGUGAGCAGAUGGGACGGGGGGAAGCCUGAACCGUGGAGCGGACACUGGGGGUGGGGUGGAAGCCUGAGCCCUGGAGCAGACAGGACUGGGGGGAGAGGAGCCUUGUAUGCUUAAGCCGUGAGCAGGCAAAAAGGGGGAGGAAGGGUGGGGUGGGGUUGUGUUUAUAUACUGUGUGAGGUUCGAGCAAGAAGAGGAUAAAUUUUUCGAUGCGCCGGGAACUCCAACUCAAGAAGAGGGUAUGAGUAUGACGCACGUAGAGAUGGCAGUUGGCACUAAGUAGGGCCCACUCGUUGUAUUUUAAUUUAGUUUACGGUCCUUGCUUGUCAAUUGGUUUUUCAAUAUGAAUCUAAAUUGCGGAGAUUCUAA